GCUGGCGUUAUCACAGUGAUCCAGCUGACGUUAUCACAGUGAUCCAGCUGGCGUUAUCACAGUGAUCCAGCUGGCGUUAUCACAGGGAUCCAGCUGGCGUUAUCACAGUGAUCCAGCUGGCGUUAUCACAGUGAUCCAGCUGGCGUUAUCACAGUGAUCCAGCUGGCGUUAUCACAGUGAUCCAGCUGGCGUUAUCACAGUGAUCCAGCUGGUAUUAUCACAGUGAUCCAGCUGGUGUUAUCACAGUGAUCCACUGUGAGACACUGUGUGUGUGAUUCUGUGUGUGUGUGAGACGCAGUGUUAUUUACCAUCUCCCUCUCCCCAGAGGUAUUUACCAUCUCCCUCUCCCCAGAGGUAUUUACCAUCUCCCUCUCCACAGAGGUAUUUACCAUCUCCCUCUCCCC
Molecule: long non-coding RNA, 404 nt
Filed under: Salmo salar (Atlantic salmon)
Lineage: Eukaryota; Metazoa; Chordata; Actinopteri; Salmoniformes; Salmonidae
Description: lncRNA (ENSSSAG00000088609.1)
Source: RNAcentral